AUUGAACGCUGGCGGCAUGCUUUACACAUGCAAGUCGAACGGUAACAGGUCUUCGGAUGCUGACGAGUGGUGAACGGGUGAGUAAUGUAUCGGAACGUGCCCAGUAGUGGGGGAUAACUACUCGAAAGAGUGGCUAAUACCGCAUGAGAACUGAGGUUGAAAGUGGGGGACCUUCGGGCCUCGCGCUACUGGAGCGGCCGAUAUCAGAUUAGGUAGUUGGUGGGGUAAAGGCCUACCAAGCCGACGAUCUGUAGCUGGUCUGAGAGGACGACCAGCCACACUGGGACUGAGACACGGCCCAGACUCCUACGGGAGGCAGCAGUGGGGAAUAUUGGACAAUGGGCGCAAGCCUGAUCCAGCAAUGCCGCGUGUGUGAAGAAGGCCUGCGGGUUGUAAAGCACUUUCAGUGGGGAAGAACAGAUUCGGGUCAAUACCCCGGAGCCCUGACGUUACCCACAGAAGAAGCACCGGCUAACUCCGUGCCAGCAGCCG
This 492-nucleotide ribosomal RNA is filed under the name uncultured bacterium. RNAcentral's name for it is "bacterial SSU rRNA". It matches the Rfam family "Bacterial small subunit ribosomal RNA", at positions 30 to 517 of the family's 1533-position model. The record is from RNAcentral.